RNAcentral lists this ribosomal RNA (253 nucleotides) under uncultured bacterium. RNAcentral's name for it is "partial 16S ribosomal RNA". It matches the Rfam family "Bacterial small subunit ribosomal RNA", at positions 524 to 776 of the family's 1533-position model. The record is from RNAcentral.
UACGUAGGGGGCGAGCGUUGUCCGGAAUUACUGGGCGUAAAGGGUGCGUAGGUGGCCUUUUAAGUUGGAUGUGAAAUACCCGGGCUUAACUUGGGGGGUGCAUCUAAUACUGGAGGGCUAGAGUGCAGGAGAGGAAAGCGGAAUUCCUAGUGUAGCGGUGAAAUGCGUAGAUAUUAGGAGGAACACCAGUGGCGAAGGCGGCUUUCUGGACUGUAACUGACACUGAGGCACGAAAGCGUGGGGAGCAAACAGG